This 73-nucleotide transfer RNA is filed under the name Halocynthia spinosa. RNAcentral's name for it is "transfer RNA-Phe". The record is from RNAcentral. Lineage: Eukaryota; Metazoa; Chordata; Ascidiacea; Stolidobranchia; Pyuridae.
GUAUAGAUAGUUUAGGUUUGUUUUAAAAUAAUUCCUUGAAAAGGAGUAGAGACGUAGGAACGCGUUUUAUGCA